UAGGCGGUGGUAGAGUUUUUGUAGCUGGUGGUAGUAGCUUUUAUGGCUGGUGGUAGUAGUUUGUGUUCGUCGGAAACCUCACAGUAGUAGCUUUUGUAGGCGGUGAUAGUAGCUUUUGUAGCUGGUGGUAGUAGCUUUUAUAGCUGGUAGUAGUAAUUUUUGUUAUCGUCGGAGGUCGGCCGGAAACCUCACCGGAGGUCGGUCGGAAAUCUCGCCGGAGGUCGGUCGGAAACCUCGCCGGAGGUCUGCCGGAAACCUUGCCGGAUGUCAGCUGGAAAUCUGGCCGGAGGUCGGCCGGAGACUAUUCUGAAAUAAGAGUGGUUGUUGACUUUUUAUACUAGUGGCAUUCUUGUAAAUAUAAAAGAGAAAAUCUAAUUUUUUUGUUGGAUGGCAGUCUGUAAUUACGUUGAACUUCAAUACUUAAUAUAAAACCUUAUUUAGACUUGGGUGGACUUAUGUGGGUAAAAAUGUUGGGGUGGACCUAUGUGGGAAAAAAUGUCUCAAAGUGGACUUAUAUGUAAUUGGCCCUACAAUAAAUCUAUAUGAAUGCAAUUUAUAGUUACUUAGGGAUUCAAUCAAUCAAGAUUGAUUGAUUCGUGAAUCACUAUUGAUUUUUGGAGAGGAGUGAUUUACUCUGAUCACAGAGUGAUAAGUGAUUAGUGCUAACAACUAUUCUCUUUACUUGUAUUGAGAUGAGCCGUAAUAACAUUUCUUUUUAAUCAGUAGCAAACCAUCUUCGAUAUGUUUUAGUAAGUUAAUAACACAUCCAACAACGUCGUGAUGGAUGACAAAAGUAUCACAAUAAUACCAGACUAAUCUCUCACCGCAGGCAUAUGAACUUGAAGGCUCAUCAAACCGCUUCCUACAAACUGGUGGGAGUUGAGACUUAAACUCUAUAUAUGAGGAUUUCAAAACCAAUCU
This 921-nucleotide long non-coding RNA is filed under the name Fragaria vesca (wild strawberry). RNAcentral describes it as "long non-coding RNA (FVES_LNC000721)". The record is from RNAcentral. Lineage: Eukaryota; Viridiplantae; Streptophyta; Magnoliopsida; Rosales; Rosaceae.